RNAcentral lists this non-coding RNA (24 nucleotides) under Arabidopsis thaliana (thale cress). Lineage: Eukaryota; Viridiplantae; Streptophyta; Magnoliopsida; Brassicales; Brassicaceae. The record is from RNAcentral.
GUCCCAUGGAAAUUGUGAGCUGCC